Molecule: ribosomal RNA, 513 nt
Filed under: uncultured Desulfobulbus sp.
Lineage: Bacteria; Pseudomonadati; Thermodesulfobacteriota; Desulfobulbia; Desulfobulbales; Desulfobulbaceae
Description: bacterial SSU rRNA
Rfam family: Bacterial small subunit ribosomal RNA
Source: RNAcentral
CGCCUUGCCAGCCCCGCUCAGAACUUAAAGGGAAGUUGACGGGGGCCCGGCACGAAGCGGUGGAGUAUGUGGUUAAUUCGAUGCAACGCGAAGAACUUACCUGGUCUUGACAUCCCGGAGACCCUUAGGAAACUAGGGGUGCUUCCAUCUGGAAGAAUCUGGAGACAGGUGCUGCAUGGCUGUCGUCAGCUCGUGUCGUGAGAUGUUGGGUUAAGUCCCGCAACGAGCGCAACCCUUGCCUUUAGUUGCCAGCAGUUCGGCUGGGCACUCUAAAGGGACUGCCGGUGUUAAACCGGAGGAAGGUGGGGAUGACGUCAAGUCCUCAUGGCCUUUAUGACCAGGGCUACACACGUACUACAAUGGCCGAUACAAAGGGCAGCGACACUGCGAGGUGAAGCCAAUCCCGUAAAAUCGGUCUCAGUCCGGAUUGGAGUCUGCAACUCGACUCCAUGAAGUUGGAAUCGCUAGUAAUCGCAGAUCAGCCAAGCUGCGGUGAAUACGUUCCCGGGCCUU